AACGAACGCUGGCGGCAUGCCUAACACAUGCAAGUCGAACGAGACCUUCGGGUCUAGUGGCGCACGGGUGCGUAACGCGUGGGAACCUGCCCUUAGGUUCGGAAUAACUCCCCGAAAGGGGUGCUAAUACCGGAUAAUGUCUUCGGACCAAAGAUUUAUCGCCUUUGGAUGGGCCCGCGUUGGAUUAGCCAGUUGGUAGGGUAAAAGCCUACCAAGGCGACGAUCCAUAGCUGGUCUGAGAGGAUGAUCAGCCACAAUGGGACUGAGACCCGGCCCAGGCUCCUACGGGAGGCAGCAGUGGGGAAUAUUGGACGAUGGGCGAAAGCGUGAUCCAGCAAUGCCGCGUGAGUGAUGAAGGCCUUAGGGUUGUAAAGCUCUUUUACCCGGGAUGAUAAUGACAGUACCGGGAGAAUAAGCACCGACUAACUCCGUG
This 433-nucleotide ribosomal RNA is filed under the name uncultured bacterium. RNAcentral's name for it is "partial 16S ribosomal RNA". It matches the Rfam family "Bacterial small subunit ribosomal RNA", at positions 29 to 507 of the family's 1533-position model. The record is from RNAcentral.